This 161-nucleotide unclassified non-coding RNA is filed under the name uncultured Elaphomyces. Its description in RNAcentral is "sequence contains ITS2". Lineage: Eukaryota; Fungi; Ascomycota; Eurotiomycetes; Eurotiales; Elaphomycetaceae. The record is from RNAcentral.
CCAUCCCUCAAGCCCGGCUUGGGUGUUGGGCCGUCGUCCCCGUUUCCCGGGGGCGGGUCCGAAAGGCAGUGGCGGUGCCGGUUCGGUCCUGGAGCGUAUGGGGCUUUGUCACUCCGCUCUGCAGGAUCUGGAUCGGCGCUUGCCCCCCAGUCUUCCUCUCA